GGAGUCGGCCAGGCAGUCGCUGGAGAUCGGGGUUAGCCCCCGUUUUCUGGAGGAAAGUCCGGGCUCCACAGGGCAAGGUGCCAGGUAAUCCCUGGGGGGCGCGAGCCCAUGGAAAGUGCCACAGAAAAUAUACCGCCCGCCUGCCUUAACAGGCAGCACGGGUAAGGGUGAAAUGGUGCGGUAAGAGCGCACCGCGCGGCUGGUAACAGGCGUGGCAGGGUAAACCCCACCUGGAGCAAGACCAAAUAGGGGAACGAACGUGCGGCCCGCACGGUUCCCGGGUAGGUUGCUUGAGGCCUGCGGUGACGCAGCGCCCAGAUGAAUGACUGUCCACGACAGAACCCGGCUUAUCGGCCGACUCCUACG
This 366-nucleotide RNase P RNA is filed under the name Gammaproteobacteria bacterium. Its description in RNAcentral is "RNase P RNA component class A". It matches the Rfam family "Bacterial RNase P class A". From Rfam's summary of the family: Ribonuclease P (RNase P) is a ubiquitous endoribonuclease, found in archaea, bacteria and eukarya as well as chloroplasts and mitochondria. Lineage: Bacteria; Pseudomonadati; Pseudomonadota; Gammaproteobacteria. The record is from RNAcentral.